GACGAACACUGGCGGCGUGCCUAAUACAUGCAAGUCGAGCGGACUUUCAAGAAGCUUGCUUUUUGAAAGUUAGCGGCGGACGGGUGAGUAACACGUGGGCAACCUGCCUAUAAGACGGGGAUAACUCCGGGAAACCGGGGCUAAUACCGGAUAAUAUCUUUCUUCGCAUGAGGGAAGGUUGAAAGGCGGCGCAAGCUGCCGCUUGCAGAUGGGCCCGCCGCGCAUUAGCUAGGUGGUGAGGUAACGGCUCACCAAGGCGACGAUGCGUAGCCGACCUGAGAGGGGGAUCGGCCACACUGGGACUGAGACACGGCCCAGACUCCUACGGGAGGCAGCAGUAGGGAAUCUUCCGCAAUGGACGGAAGUCUGACGGAGCAACGCCGCGUGAGCGAAGAAGGUCUUCGGAUCGUAAAGCUCUGUUGUCAGGGAAGAACAAGUACCGUUCGAAUAGGGCGGUACCUUGACGGUACCUGACCAGAAAGCCACGGCUAACUACGUGCCAGCCGCCGCCGUAA
RNAcentral lists this ribosomal RNA (515 nucleotides) under uncultured bacterium. RNAcentral's name for it is "partial 16S ribosomal RNA". It matches the Rfam family "Bacterial small subunit ribosomal RNA", at positions 28 to 523 of the family's 1533-position model. The record is from RNAcentral.